CUCAGGUGACUUUGCAUGGUUAAUAUUAGGAAGCUCAUGUUAUGGGGGAGGAAGUGUAAAGAGAAUGAACAUCUCUUAAGGAGUAUAAAAGAAUAUGGAAAAUUUCAUCUCUCUGCAAAAUUACAGAUAUCCAAUGAUCCUACGCUGCAUUUUGUUAUCUUAUUCCUUCAGUCUCCACUGGUAUGUGACAAUUGCCUAGUGUUUCCUUAGUUUUUCAUUACCUUUGGAAGUUCUGGCCAGAUGUCCUGUAGAAUGUCUCCCAAAUGGAGUUUGAUGUCUUUCUCAUCAUUAGAUUUCAGUUCCAGAUUUCGUGGAAGAAUAUUACAGCUAGAAGGAGAAAGAAAGAUGAAAAUUACCUCAAUUAGGGUUUCUUCUUGCUCAGCAACUAGUGCAUGUUGGAUGAGAUGGACACAGAUCAUAUGGUCAGACUAGAGUUGGCUGACCAAGCUGAACCUGUUAGUCUCUCUGAGACUUUGGGAUCCAGGAUAGAAAUUCUAGGUACAGUUGGAGGAAGUUAUAAAUGGAGGAAGGGAAAGUUCAGACUGAGACUUGCUACUAGAAGACCAGGAACAGAUAUGAAAUGCAGAAGAAAUUAACACAUCUCACCCCAAGAGCUCCGGAAAGUGGAUGCAUUUCAGGAGAUUGGCUGAAUGAAUAUACCUUGUCUGCUGCAAGUUCAUAUUACUGAAAGGAUCUUUGCCUGGAAACCCAGUUCUUCCCAUUAUACCACUCUGAUUGUUCUCUUUACUAAUGAUGGAUUACAAUCUUUCUAAUGCUAGACCUUGGUCUCCCACUGAGAAAGUGCCUUGGGGUGCUUAAUCCUGUCCUGGUAACAGUAUGGACUUAAAUGGUGCUCUAAGAUUCCUCCUGAUUUAAAUUGACUUGCAUUUGUGAGACCACAUUUGAAUUUGUAACCUAACAAAGAGCCACUGACUAUUUUGAAAGAACAGGACUUUCACAUGAUCAACCCCUCUCCUUGAAAUGCUUACAAAAUAAUCUUUCUUCUAAGGUCUUUGUAUUUCCUGAGACAAGCUUUCUUCCUCUUGCUUUUUCCUGAAUGAGGAAGUACUUAUAAUCUCACCUCUUAAAUUACAUUUUAAGGCCUCACAAACCACAGUAAAGGAAGGGACAGAGUCAGCUCUAAUUUCAUAAACUAUCUGUAAGAGAAUUAAUUGCAACCUGACUUAUUUUUUUCUUUUCACAAAGAAGCUGUAAAGGAAUCCCAUAAAUUUUGAAGGAGGAAUAAAUUCUCUCUUAAAGGAGUAAAACUGUAGUAAAAUAUUAAAAUAGCACAAAUUAAAGUUGACUGGAAUCUCCUGUAAAAUCAAACCAAGGAAAAGAGUAGUAAAUAUCACUCUGCAGAAAAAUUAGUGUCUCUCCAGCAAUAAAACCAACUAAAAGAUUACAUUUAAAUAUAAACUAUAUAAAGCCUUCUGAUUCAAGAUACACAAAAAUGAAUUCAGUCAAGUAUAUUUGUUAACCAAACAUCUUUAGAAAACUGAAUCUUCAAAGGUGAUAUUUAUAUCGUCUUACAUCAAAUUAUUUGAUAUUAGUUGUUUGUCAUUACUUAGGACACUAUCCUCUCUACAUUUUACAUAUAAGAUUCAAUUAAAUCCUCAUGAAACUUAAUGACCUAAUAUUCACUAAAAUAUUCAUAUGGAGAACAAUUCUUUUGAAUCAAAGACCAGAAUGUGAGUCUUCCCUCUGCCACUAAUUGGCAUGUUAUUUGAAUUUUCUGUAUUCUGUAUUCCAGCUUCCCCUGGAUAGGAACAAUAUUUGUAUUCAUCCUUAUAAGGAUGGUGAAAAGAUUAUGAGUUAGUAGACAUGAAGAAUUUGGAGCAAGCUAUGGUUUGAAUACAGUUUAUCCCUGCCACAACAUGGAGUAUUAUUCUCUAGCUGUAGCAAUGUUGGGAAAUGGAGCCUGGUGGCAAGUGCUAGCUUCUUGGGAAUAGAGUCUUCCUGAAUGGAACAAUCUUUUCUCAAGGGAAUGCCUUAGCUAUUGCAAGAAAUUGGCCCUCUUUCCUCUCUUUGCAUAAACCAUUUGCCCUUCUGCUUUUCCACCAAACAUGGAGCAGCAUGAGACUCUCACCAGAGGCCCAAUAGAAGACGGUGCCAUGCUGUUGGACUUUCGGAACCAGAAUGCAAAAUAAGCCUCUUCUCUUUAUUAAUUACCCACUCUCUCAUGUACUCUGUUAUAGCAGCAGAAAUAAACUUUGAAUAAUAGAAAACUUUUAAAAAGUUAGUCAAUAUUUAUUGUGACAGUAACUAUGAAUAUUAUUUUGACUUACUGAAAUGUUUUAUUUUUAAUAAGUCAGUAAUAUCUUUUGACCUAAGCUGUCUCAUCCAUAAAAUUAUGAUUAUUGUGCUAAGUCAUGAUUUUAUAUUCUUUUCCAGUUCUAAAAAUUAAUAAUUCUGGGGCUUUAAUAUAAACAAUCUGAAGACUUAUAAAUUCUACUCAAAUAUUUGGAUAGUGCCCCCCCACCCCGUGCUACUAAAAAGUAACAACGAUAGAAGUGAUCUAAAAUAAUGGAAAGUAUACUGAAGAAUUUGGAUAGGGGUGCAGUUAUCUUUUAGACUCAACUCUAACAAUGGCUACCUUUGUCAUUUUGUAAAGAUACAUAUCUAUGACCUGUGAGUCUCUAUAAAGUAAAGAUCAAGCCUAUCAUUUUAUACCCAUGAAAAAAUGAAGAAUAUAAUGAUUUUAAAAGAUCUCACAGUUUUCCCCCCAUGGGAUUUCACAAAUCCUUGUAUUCUACCAACUUCUGUAUACUCUAGUAAUUAGGUGCCAUGGGUAGCACUUAAAAUGUUACCAAUCAGGUUUAAAACACAAGAUGUAAUGUGAAUUAUAUGCCAUACCAUGUUUCCCCAGAAAGCAAAUUUUCUUCCAAAUUAAUAAAAUGAGAGAAAGAGCAGAAAACCAGAGAAUCUUUCAGCACUUGGGGAACAAAAAUACAAGACAAGAGUUAUAUAACCUACAGCAAGUUUUUUGGCUAAGUUUGUAAAUUUUAGUAACCUCUAAUUUACAUGUGCUUUCUUUGGAAUUUUAAAAGUCUGCCCAAUUUUGUCUGGUUUGGGAGCAUCAUCUCCAGAGGUCAAACAGUUCUUUUGACAUAUUGACAAGUUCCUCCAAUCCAGUUUGAUGGACUAGAGCUUCACUUUCAGACCUAACUUCAUUUUUUAAACCAAAUGUCCUACUGCAAACUGUAAAGAUUUAUGGUGAGUGAUCUAGAGGUCUUCUUCCUCUGUUUAAUUUGAUCAUAGAUUUGAAAAUACUAAGUGAUGUGUCUCAUGAUAUGGGUAAAUUGACAUCUGUAAAAAAUAAUUUCAGACCCUAAAAGCAGACUGAGUUUAGAACACUUAGUGAAAAAAUUAUUUGGCAUUAAUUAAUUAAACAUUUUUCUAAUGUUUAAUAUUGUUUAUUGUUGCCUGUUUUUUUUUGCAUUUUAUAUUUUUGUGUUCUGCGAUGAAUUAAAUAACUGCACAUAUUUUGUUUUUCUUGAGAUUACCAAGGCGUGUGUAUUAAAUAGUUAUUUUCUGUUCAUUAGUUCACUGAAAGUGUUAAUUUUUUUUUCUGUGUGUAUUCUGUUUUGGAAGAAUUGAUCAAUGUAAGACCAUUUCUUUGGAAUAUAAAA
Molecule: long non-coding RNA, 3632 nt
Organism: Marmota monax (woodchuck)
Lineage: Eukaryota; Metazoa; Chordata; Mammalia; Rodentia; Sciuridae
Exons: 5
Source: RefSeq, a predicted model, not a curated record